Molecule: ribosomal RNA, 437 nt
Filed under: uncultured Oscillospiraceae bacterium
Lineage: Bacteria; Bacillati; Bacillota; Clostridia; Eubacteriales; Oscillospiraceae
Description: partial 16S ribosomal RNA
Rfam family: Bacterial small subunit ribosomal RNA
Source: RNAcentral
ACGGAAGGCAGCAGUGGGGAAUAUUGGGCAAUGGGCGCAAGCCUGACCCAGCGACGCCGCGUGAGGGAAGAAGGUCUUCGGAUUGUAAACCUCUUUCAGCAGGGAAGAAGCAAGUGACGGUACCUGCAGGAGAAGUCACGGCUAACUACGUGCCAGCAGCCGCGGUAAUACGUAGGUGGCGAGCGUUAUCCGGAAUUACUGGGUGUAAAGGGUGUGUAGGCGGAGAAGCAAGUCAGGCGUGAAAUUUAUGAGCUCAACUCAUAAACUGCGCUUGAAACUGUUUCCCUUGAGAGUGGGAGAGGUAAACGGAAUUCCUGGUGUAGUAGUGAAAUGCGUAGAUAUCAGGAGGAACACCGGUGGCGAAGGCGGUUUACUGGACCACAACUGACGCUGAGACACGAAAGCGUGGGGAGCAAACAGGAUUAGAUACCCUGGUA